RNAcentral lists this long non-coding RNA (203 nucleotides) under Elaeis guineensis (African oil palm). RNAcentral's name for it is "long non-coding RNA (EGUI_LNC069471)". Lineage: Eukaryota; Viridiplantae; Streptophyta; Magnoliopsida; Arecales; Arecaceae. The record is from RNAcentral.
CUCACAAUAAUUAACUGAGUCAAACACAGUUUGCUGUUUGAAACUCUUCCAAUUAACUGCUCCUCUAGUACUUCUCAAGUAGUUUGAGAAUGCUUUUCAUAGUUUCAAAAGAUCCUAUCAUGGAUCUGCCUGAAAUCAAUGAUUAUGCAUAUGGCAUAAAUCACAUCAGGCUUGGUACAUUGAAUAUAUGGAUAAGUAAACAC